UCCUCCCCUCCCUGCUCUGUGGUUUGCUCUGUGUUUCCCCCAUGAAAACUUGAAACCUCCCCGUGAUAAGUGAGGUCCUAUGUAGACAGAGCAGGGGAGGGGGGAGGAGCUGUGGACGUCCUCAUUCUCCCCCUGCUUGAAUCUUACAGAUAGGGGCGUUUCUGAGGAUGAGCCUAUGGCUGCCUCAGAAAGCACCCGCUCAUGCAUAUGCAUAAGCAGGGAGGAGCUGACAGAGGCUAGGGGGAGCACAAACACUGCUGGGAGGAAGAGAUCUCCGUCCCCAAGAUGGCGGCUGCAAUGUAAUGAAUAGGGGACGGACGCAGGACUACUGGGCUAUGCUGGCAACUCUAAUAUCUCAGAAACGGCUGCAUAUAGCUACUCUGGUUCAGAAAAGAUGAAGGUCUGUCAGGGAUAGUUACUUCAAGUACAUGUGAGAUGCACAUUUGCCGAGUGGGUCAGGAGCUAAGAAAACAACCUACAAACAUGCUUCAAGACUGGCCUUUCUGAAUAAGGUUCUAGAAUUACGAGCAACAUCUUUAAAUACUGCAGACCAAGCACUCUUGGAGGAACCCAUAGUGAUUGAAGGCACUGAACCCCCUACAGACUUAGAAGGAGAAACGCAUGCUCCUGCAACAAUAUCUAAAACUCUUCUACAAAGAAUGUCUCAAAGACAUUGUUCCCGUAAAAAUAAAGAGUCUCAAAGGCACCAAUAUUUUCUGGAGAAUCAAUCUCCUCAAAAUUUCUGCAUGUUGAUGUCAGAUUACUACGUGUAGAGGGUUUGGUGUCUGGGCCCGAACCAAGUCAACAUCGUGACUUUCUUCAUACAUUCUUUGCAUCAAUGGAGCGUAUGACUGAGCAGCAGCUGGCAAACUUUAAGGCUAGGAUGUUCCGCCUUGCCCACGAAUGUCUGAUUCGCCCCCCCCCCCCCCCCUUGCUCCUUAUCCUUUUGUUCAACCUCCCCUUCCCCAUCUUUCCGACAACAAAGAUCCCGAACCUUCCCUUCUCCUUACCCUUAUCCUCCCACCCAAUAUGAGGAUACAUUUGAGGCUGAGGAUGGGCAAGUUUAUUGCCAUGUAUAGUGUUUUGUUAUAUGUUUAUAUAUCUAUAUGGUUUAUAACAGUUUUGUUUGGAAUAAUUGUUUAUAAAACU
Long non-coding RNA from Hyla sarda, 1149 nucleotides. RefSeq lists it as uncharacterized. The transcript is spliced from 3 exons. The record is from RefSeq and is a predicted model, not a curated record. NCBI's taxonomy places the organism in Eukaryota, Metazoa, Chordata, Amphibia, Anura, Hylidae.